Long non-coding RNA from Erinaceus europaeus (western European hedgehog), 653 nucleotides. RefSeq lists it as uncharacterized. NCBI's taxonomy places the organism in Eukaryota, Metazoa, Chordata, Mammalia, Eulipotyphla, Erinaceidae. The record is from RefSeq and is a predicted model, not a curated record. The transcript is spliced from 3 exons.
CUGCCCUGGGGGGAUUCUGAUGGGGAAACAUGCAUUCUUCCUUCACUUUUCAUUGGUACGAAUCUCACAAACUAAAGCUGACCCAGGAAGCUGACUCAGGGAGGAGAGCAAGAGGAAGGCUUUUCAGUAACUUUGCUUCCUACUAAUCUUGAGAGUUUGGAGGUUAUUGCGGAAGAGUGUAGCGACUCUUAGUCAACUGAGUCUGCACGUUUAAGCAGUGAGGGAGGAAGGAGGUCACCCACCUUGUCUACCAGAUCAGCCAACCAGCCCUGGUGAUCAAUGAAAGGACAGACGUCAUAGCCAGAUGACCCUCACACCCCACCUACAACACUGGAAGGUGACACAAAGAAAGGGAGAAGAGACACCUGAGGGUCAGGUGAUGGAGCACCAGGUUAAGGCACAUGGUACUAAGCGUAAAGACUCAUGCAAGGUGCAACGAUUGCCACCUCAACAUGCUUCACCUCAGACUGUGUCCAGAGACUUCACAUGUGGAAUGACAACCCUUCAGCUGCAUUACUCGGGUGAGACCUUUCCUUUCAUAGUACACUCUAAUUUCAUCUCAGGUGGUUCACUUUCUAACAAAGUCCCAAAACCUAGAUAUACACCAGUUUCUGUGAGAGAGAGCAUAUCUUCACACGUAUCUAUAAACUAUU